This 768-nucleotide ribosomal RNA is filed under the name Xiphinema sp. P11-2016. RNAcentral's name for it is "eukaryotic LSU rRNA". It matches the Rfam family "Eukaryotic large subunit ribosomal RNA", at positions 351 to 899 of the family's 3401-position model. The record is from RNAcentral. Lineage: Eukaryota; Metazoa; Nematoda; Enoplea; Dorylaimida; Longidoridae.
CCGUGAGGGAAAGUUGAAAAGAACUUUGAAGAGAGAGUUCAAAAGGGCGUGAAACCGCUUAGAAUAAAACGGACGGAACCGUCUGAGGCCCAUCGGAAUCAGUCGAAUCGACGCGUGAAAGCGAGCGCGACGCGAAACGGAACGAAAGUCCCGUCGUCUCGUAGGAAAGAGUAGCGCUCGUUCGACGCAUUUCCGAAGGGUGAGCGUCGCGACCGGCGCGAACGGUUGGCGAAGCCGUCGGAUUGAGGGCGAGCUCGUUCGCGAGUCUCGUAACCAGUCCGUCGGUACGGAUAGAAUUCGCUAAACCUAAGCACCGGGAGAAAAGGAAUCGAGUGUCGGCGAUAAGCGCUCGCCUGUCACGACGGAAGUGCGGCCGGCCGAUCGUCUCCUGCUCGCAGGUUACGGUCAGCGCUCGGUUCGUAUCGGAAGUCGUCGGCGACAUUACGACACUCGGGCGUCCGCGACGUCCGAGUCGGUCACCCGUCCGACCCGUCUUGAAACACGGACCAAGGAGUCUAACGUAAGCGCGAGCUAAUGGGCGGAAAACCCAUAAGCGAAAUAAAAGUAAAAGUCGUCUCGGACGACUGAGGUACGAUCCCGCAGGACGAAAGUAUCCUCGGGCGCAGUACCGUCCCGUCCCGACCGCACGUCGGUAGGGCGGAGAUAGAGUGCCUACGUUGGGACCCGAAAGAUGGUGAACUAUGCCUGAGCAGAGCGAAGCCAGAGGAAACUCUGGUGGAGGUUCGUAGCGGUUCUGACGUGCAAAUC